CCAGUGUGGUAAGUGCUGAGAUUCGGU
This 27-nucleotide non-coding RNA is filed under the name Homo sapiens (human). The record is from RNAcentral. Lineage: Eukaryota; Metazoa; Chordata; Mammalia; Primates; Hominidae.